GCUACUCAAGGGUGUAUGGUGGAUGGCUUGACAAAACAUGCUGAUGAAGGACGUAGCAGUCUGCGAUAAGCUUCGGUGAGGUGACAAGCAACCUUUGACCCGGAGAUGUCCGAAUGGGGAAACCCGGCUGGGGUAAUGCCCAGUCACUGUGCACUAAAUACAUAGGUGUACAGGAGGCACCCAGGGAAGUGAAACAUCUCAGUACCUGGAGGAAAAGAAAAUAACGAGUACUAUUCUCAUCUUGACGCUCGACCUAGUCGAGAAUCGAGAUGACGAAUAGUUGCUUACAUUCCCAAAGUAGUGGCGAGCGAAAUGGGAUCAGCCUAAACCAACCAAGUGAAAUACGCUGAAGUAUCUCUUCGGAGAUGUGGAUGCGAUAUGAAAGGUAACAGCCGUUGCUUGGUUGGUGUUGUAAGUCCAGAUGUGCACAUCUGUUAAUGUGCGGUAUGUAUAGAUGAUCUUUAGUGGAAUCUUCUGGAAAGAAGAACCAAAGAAGGUGAUAGUCCUGUACGCAAAAAGGAUGCAUCUACAUACGGUCUGGCACUUAAGUACGGCGGGACACGUGAAAUCCUGUCGGAAUCUGCCGCGACUAUGCGGCAAGGCUAAAUACAUGUUUUGAUCGAUAGUGUACUAGUACCGUGAGGGAAAGCUGAAAAGAACCCCGAGAGGGGAGUGAAAUAGANNAGACCCGAAACCGAGUGAUCUAACCAUGGCCAGGGUGAAGCGAGUGUAAUAGCUCGUGAAGGCCCGAACCCACGCGCCGUACAACACGCGGGGAUGAGCUGUGGUUAGCGGAGAAAUUCCAAUCGAACUCGGUAAUAGCUGGUUCUCCUCGAAAUAUGUUUAGGCAUAGCGUCGGUUAAUAGCGUGUUGGGGGUAGAGCACUGAUUGGGAUUGGCGCCUUCGGGUAGCCGUCCUAGCCAAACUCCGAAUACCAAUACGCGUUCCCGGCAGUCAGACCAUGGGGGCGAAGCUCCAUUGGUCAAAAGGGAAAGAACCCUGAUCUCAAGCUAAGGUCCCAAAGUGAUUACUAAGUGUAAAAGGUGGUGGGGAGACUUAUACAACCAGGAGGUUGGCUUAGAAGCAGCCAUCCUUUAAAGAUAGCGUAACAGCUCACUGGUCAAGUUUCCCUGCGCCGAAAAUAUACCGGGGCUAAGUAAUUCACCGAAGCUGAGGGUGUGAUGUUUCUUCGGAAACAUUACGCGGUAGAGGAGCAUUCCUAUUGCGCUGAAGUUGAGUCGUAAGGCUUGGUGGAGCGAUAGGAAGUGAGAAUGUUGGCAUGAGUAGCAUAAAGACAGGUGAGAACCCUGUCCGUCGAAAGCCCAAGGUUUCCACAGUAACGAAAAUCGUCUGUGGGUUAGUCGGGUGCUAAGGCGAGGCCGAAAGGCGUAGUCGAUGCACAGCAGGUUAAUAUUCCUGCACCGCGUUAUUGUUCUAAUGGGGGGACGUUUACCAAAGUUUCCUGUGUCCUAUGGCUAUGACACUGGGGGCUUGGGGUGGACUGGUAGGAAAAUCCGCCAGUCACAACACUCUGAGUCAUCGCGACCCCGCUUUUGCGGGGGAGAGGAAAGGAUGGUGAACCAAGAAAAGCCUCUAGGGUUAACAAUAAUGCGCCCGUACCAAAUCCGACACAGGUAGGCGGGUGUAAAUGCACUAAGACGUACGAGAGAAACAUUGUUAGGGAACUCGGCAAAACAGCGGCCGUAACUUCGGGAUAAGGCCUGGUUUUCCUCGGGAGAGGAAGACCCACAGCUAAUGACUACAAGCGACUGUUUAUCAAAAACACAGGUCCCUGCUAAACCGUAAGGUGAUGUAUAGGGGCUGAUGCCUGGCCAGUGUCCGAACGUUAAAGAAGUGGGUUAUCCCGCCUUUGGGCGGGAAAAGCUUGCGACUGAAGCGCGGAUGAACGCCGGCCGUAACUAUAACGGUCCUAAGGUGGAAUGACUGCCUUAGUAAAAUCUAGCUAAAUGCUGGAAUAUCUGGAGAAUCCUCUGAUACUAGGGUAUACUGUACAUAUAGUAUGCCAAGUAAAAAUUCACGAGGUGUGCCUUUAAAAAAGGUGCCAGACAAUCAGCAGGAAAGGCCAGAAAUUGCUGGAUGGAUAUGCGGAUUUGUUGAUGGAGAAGGUUGCUUCUCUGUUAGCAUCAUUCGCAACAGUACUACGAGUUCUGGAUGGCAGAUAUUUCCUGAGUUUGUUGUCACACAAGGUGAAAAAAGUAGAUCCUCAUUGGAGUUAAUACAAUCGUAUUUCCAGUGUGGUCAAAUUUACGAAAAUCAUCGGAGUGAUAAUCAUAAGGAACAUCUGUUGCGAUAUUGUGUAAGGUCAAAGAAAGAUUUAUUAGAAAUAGUAAUUCCGUUUUUUGAGAAGUACACUUUAAAUACUGCUAAGCGAGAUGACUUUCAAAAAUUUGUCAGGAUAUUAAACCUGAUAAAAGUAGGGAAGCAUUUAAGUAAAGCUGGUAUGACAAAGAUCGCGAAAAUAAUCCAGAGCAUGAAUAGAAGAGUACCAUCACGAUUUCUGGAAUCCUCAGAGACUACAUGCUGGAUUUCGCCAAAAGCGAAAAAGAUAUAGUCCGAUCUGCAUGGCGACAUGCAGGAUUGAUUACUCAUCAAUCACCUCAUUUAUGAGGAAACAAAAAGAGCGAAAUUCCUUGUCGGGUGAGUUCCGACCUGCACGAAUGGCAUAACGACUUGUAGACUGUCCCAACAAUGUACUCGGCGAAAUUGCGUGGGGAGUGAAGAUGCUCUCUAUGCGUAGUUGGACGAAAAGACCCCGUGAAGCUUUACUACAACUUGUCAUUGGAUUUAUGUUUCACAUGUUCAGCAUAGGUGGGAGCCCUCGGGCACCAGUGAGAUACCACCCUUGUGUUGUGUGAAUUCUAACCGGCAGCCAUGAAUCUGGCAGCUGGGACAGUGACUGGUGGGUAGUUUUACUGGGGCGGUAGCCUCCCAAAAAGUAACGGAGGCGUUUACAAAGGUUGGCUUAGCCCGGAUGGAAAUCGGGCUGAAUGUGCAAGCGCAGAAGCCAGCUUUACUGCAAGACUGACGCGUCGCGCAGUUGCGAAAGCAGAAGCUAGUGAUCCGACCGUUCGAUAUAGGACGGCGGAAGCUCAACGGAUAAAAGCUACUCCGGGGAUAACAGGCUAGUCUUGCCCAAGCGUCCACAGCGACGGCAAGGUUCGGCACCUCGAUGUCGGCUCAUCGCAUCCUGGGGCUGGAGNNGAACGUCGUGAGACAGUUCGGUCUCCUAUCCACUACGCACGUUGAAGAUUGAAAGGACUCAUCCCUAGUACGAGAGGACCGGGAUGAACUGACCUCUGGUGUACCAGUUGUUCCGCCUGGAGCAUGGCUGGGUAGCUACGUCGGGUUCGGAUAACCGCUGAAAGCAUCUAAGCGGGAAGUCGACCUUAAGAUUAAUCUUCUUAGACACCUCAGAGACUAUGAGGUUGAUAGGCACUAGGUGUAAGCUCGGUAACGAGUUCAGCCAAGGUGUACUAAUUGGUCAUAUGGCU
RNAcentral lists this ribosomal RNA (3512 nucleotides) under Candidatus Uhrbacteria bacterium. Its description in RNAcentral is "bacterial LSU rRNA". It matches the Rfam family "Bacterial large subunit ribosomal RNA". The record is from RNAcentral. Lineage: Bacteria; Candidatus Uhriibacteriota.